GGGGUUGUACUGGUUUCGACGGGGGUUUAGAAAUUACGGUAGCCAUUCGUGGACCAGGACCACGCUAAAACUUGGAAAAUAAAUAUAAACGCAGACGAAAAUUACGCGUACGCUGCCUAAUUAUGGCAGCUGUCAGCUCUAGGUUCCCCACAACUUAGAAUCCUGGCAUCGACUUAGUGGGACACUCCGGGGCUUAAGCUUUGCGGUUUCGGAAAAUUCAUGAAGCUACCAUAUAGGAAAGCCUGUUUGUAGGCGUUUUUGUAUGGGAAAUCCAAUAUACAAACUGUAAUGGGAGAAGCUGUAAUGGAAGAGCUUUCGGACAGGGGUUCGAUUCCCCUCAGCUCCAUCG
Molecule: non-coding RNA, 349 nt
Organism: Clostridium sp. CAG:127
Lineage: Bacteria; Bacillati; Bacillota; Clostridia; Eubacteriales; Clostridiaceae
Source: Rfam